CAGUAGCCGCGGUAAUACAGAGGGUGCGAGCGUUAAUCGGAUUUACUGGGCGUAAAGCGUGCGUAGGCGGCUUUUUAAGUCGGAUGUGAAAUCCCUGAGCUUAACUCAGGAAUUGCAUUCGAUACUGGGAAGCUAGAGUAUGGGAGAGGAUGGUAGAAUUCCAGGUGUAGCGGUGAAAUGCGUAGAGAUCUGGAGGAAUACCGAUGGCGAAGGCAGCCAUCUGGCCUAAUACUGACGCUGAGGUACGAAAGCAUGGGGAGCAAACAGGAUUAGAUACCCCCGUAGUCCCUGUCUCUUAUAA
This 301-nucleotide ribosomal RNA is filed under the name uncultured bacterium. Its description in RNAcentral is "partial 16S ribosomal RNA". It matches the Rfam family "Bacterial small subunit ribosomal RNA", at positions 509 to 809 of the family's 1533-position model. The record is from RNAcentral.